RNAcentral lists this ribosomal RNA (253 nucleotides) under uncultured bacterium. RNAcentral describes it as "partial 16S ribosomal RNA". It matches the Rfam family "Bacterial small subunit ribosomal RNA", at positions 524 to 776 of the family's 1533-position model. The record is from RNAcentral.
UACGGAGGAUCCAAGCGUUAUCCGGAUUCAUUGGGUUUAAAGGGUGCGUAGGCGGAAUGAUGAGUCAGUGGUGAAAUCUCAGAGCUUAGCUCUGAAACUGCCAUUGAUACUGUCAAUCUUGAGUACAUUUGAUGUGGGCGGAAUGUGUCAUGUAGCGGUGGAAUGCUUAGAUAUGACACAGAACACCGAUUGCGAAGGCAGCUCACAAAACUGUAACUGACGCUGAGGCACGAAAGCGUGGGUAUCAAACAGG